This is a non-coding RNA of Aegilops tauschii subsp. strangulata, 1801 nucleotides long. The record is from RefSeq and is a predicted model, not a curated record. Lineage: Eukaryota; Viridiplantae; Streptophyta; Magnoliopsida; Poales; Poaceae.
AAAGCCCAUUUUAGUGAGACCCAUGUACAGGAUCAUAAUGACAGCCCGAGCAAAGCCCGGCCCGGAGGAUGCCCAGGUUUAGCUGGGAACAAUCGCCGUCAGCCGCACGGCGAUACCGGGAUCCCCGUCGACUCCGGCGGCCGGAGGGCAACGCACGCGGGCCCGCACUCACGUCACGGCUCUCGCCACGGCUAAUCCGGCGAAGCUCUCCGCGGUCUACGCCGCCAGAAGUUUACUAGGUGGCUGAUGGUCCAGGUUCAUGCCAAGGAAAUCCCAGCUUCUUGUGGUCAUCAAGUCAUGGUGCUGAUUUGGAGUAACGCUGAUAACUUCAGAAGAAAGGAUCAUGCAUCAGGAUUGAAUUCCCCAAUUCGGUUAUCUUAACAGGAUAGUGUUAGAUCAACAGAGAAUCAGCGAAGCAAUUUUUGUAGCAAACUUGGCCCACCUGCAAGAUCUUGUGCUUGGUCAUCUGUUAACAUGGCCGCGAAGCCUGAGAAGCCAUGCUUGUAGCUAUAAGUGAUGGAGGCCAACGCAUCUUCCUUGCUGAAACAAAUCAGCAAGUGAUGAGAAAAAAAAAACCGACAGCCUUACUCGGAAUUGUCGAACGAAAUACUCUGUCCUUUAAAAGUAUAUAAUAUGGCCCGUCAGAAGAUCAGAACCGAACUCGGAAAGAUGGCAAACUUGUUCUGAGGUUUACCUUCCAAGAAUGGUGGUGAGCAUGUCAUGGUGCGAAGCUGUUACCAGAGAAGGGUCAUCAUGUUUCUUCUCUCCCAGGGUGAUGAAUCAGCCAUACCUUUUGAGAGCCAUACCCUCUGCCUAUGCUUAUCAUAAGGCAUAAGCAGAGUAGGAGGUAAGCCGGAAAACGCCGAGGGGAAGAGUGGAAAUCCAUGUUGGUAUGGAAGCACUUGCUGAUAUGAUCAGAAAGGAAGGUCAAAGAUACAGGCUCAGUUGGCAUGAAUCGAAUCUUUCGGCUAUCGACGCCAAUUUCCUCCCUGAAGUUCCCUGGAACUAGCUCAGCUGAAACGCGUUGCGUUUCUCCCCGCUCCAGCAUUCUCCCAGUUCAAACCUGUAAUAUUGCACUUAUUUUCCCUUCUCCUGAAGCGCGGCUUUUCAAUUUGUUCAUUCGCAUGUUUAGCAAGUACUACGUAGUAGUAAAUAAAUAUCAUAUCAUCUUCCCUACGAGAAGUAAUGGAAACAAAAACGUGUGGCGUGCAGGCAACGAAAUUGCUGAAGAUGCUGCCGGUUGCUGUAGGCUAGAACAGGGCAGGGCUCCGUUCAGACAGGGAAUCAAAUCGAGGGCCCUCCGGAUGGUCUCGUGCGCGUAUUGAAGGUGUGGUGGUUCUCAAUCGGCGGCGGGUUUUGUAUGCCUUUCCUUUUCCUGGCCGCUGCAUAUGAUUGUACGGGUCCAUCACCCGUGGCUGUGAGCGAUCCCAAGAACAUUGACUUGCUGAUGAGAGAGCAUCUCUUCCAUCUCUUCCGGAGAGAAGAUUGACUUGACUAGCGCGUCGACCAUCCAUGCCAUACGUAGUGCCAGCUCUUCCGGUGUUAUCGAGGAGACGUCAGUGCAGCCUGCUGAUCUUUUAUUUCUUGGAAGAGAAGUACACUUUUGCUUGAAAAAGUUCAUAAAUACUCCCUCUGUAAAGAAAAAUAUUAGAGCAUCUAUUUACGGAGGGAGUACUUGCUGAACUUUUUUUUGAGGAUUACUGAGUGUAUUCUGGCAGUGUAAAUAUGAGCUCUGACCAUGAUUUGUUCAAUGUCUGUUUAAUGGUUACAAAUUCAUAAUAGGAGGUGCUUAACAUGACAA